UUAAAGCUUGGCUCUGACUUUAAACAUAAUAAAGAACUAAAGAAUACACAUGGUUUUUAUAGAAUGAGGCGAGGAGAAGAAAAAACAUAUAAAAUUAAAAAAAUUAACUUCUGUAUUUUCUUCCUGGUAUUAUAGAGUUAGAUGAUACUUUGAAAUGUCCCGCUAACACCAGUGCUGAAUGUUAAGAAAAGAGCGGAAGCUUGGAUUAAUUUAGUUCAGAAAAUCUGGUUAACUUGGUGCCAGCAUCCGCGGUUAAACCAAGAAGAUUAAGUUAUGUAUUUUCGGUGAAAAGAUAGUUAAGCAAGAUAAGAAGUUUUUUAAAUUGUUAUUGAGAAGUAAAAUUCGCAAAUAACCUAGAAACUUAGUCAAAACUAAAAAACUGAAGCUAUGACACCCUAGAGGGAAACUGGGAUUAGAUACCCCACUAUUCUUGGAUGUAAAAAGAUAUAAAUUUACCAGAGUACUAUGGAUUGAUAACAUUUAAAACUCAAAGAGCUUGGCGGUGUUUUAGACUCUUUAGGGGAACCUGUCUCAUAAUCGACAAUCCGCGUUGAACCUGACCUUUAUUUGUAUAACAGUUUGUAUACCGUCGUCGUCAGGUAACUUUUUAGAAAAGAGAAGUUAGCAAUUGAGUUCAUAAUAAACUCUUACGUCAGAUCAAGGUGCAGCUAACAUAAGGGGGAGGAUGGGUUACAAUUAUAAAAAUUAUAAAUACGAAAUAACAGCUUUAAACAGCAGUCAUGAAGGAGGACUUAAAAGUAAAAUAAAAUAGAUAAAUAUAUUGAAUUGAGCUCUGAAACGUGCACACAUCGCCCGUCGCUCUCGUUGAAAAACGAGAUAAGUCGUAACAUAGCAGGGGUAAUGGAAAUUGCCCCUAAAUU
RNAcentral lists this non-coding RNA (881 nucleotides) under Indothais lacera. Its description in RNAcentral is "12S ribosomal RNA". The stretch from base 459 to 877 matches the Rfam family "Microsporidia small subunit ribosomal RNA", at positions 752 to 1303 of the family's 1311-position model. The record is from RNAcentral. Lineage: Eukaryota; Metazoa; Mollusca; Gastropoda; Neogastropoda; Muricidae.